UAGUCCACGCCGUAAACGAUGAGAACUAGAUGUUGGGAGGGUUAGCCUCUCGGUGUCGCAGCUAACGCAUUAAGUUCUCCGCCUGGGGAGUACGCCGGCAACGGUAAAACUCAAAGGAAUUGACGGGGACCCGCACAAGCGGUGGAGCAUGUGGUUUAAUUCGAUGCAACGCGAAGAACCUUACCUGCCCUUGACAUACAGAGAACUUUCCAGAGAUGGAUUGGUGCCUUCGGGAGCUCUGAUACAGGUGCUGCAUGGCUGUCGUCAGCUCGUGUCGUGAGAUGUUGGGUUAAGUCCCGCAACGAGCGCAACCCUUGUCCUUAGUUGCCAGCACGUAAUGGUGGGAACUCUAAGGAGACCGCCGGUGACAAACCGGGAGGAAGGUGGGGACGACGUCAAGUCAUCAUGGCCCUUAUGGGGUCGGGGCUACACACGUGCUACAAUGGGCAAUGACAGAGGGCAGCUAGACCGCGAGGGUCAUGCUAA
RNAcentral lists this ribosomal RNA (486 nucleotides) under uncultured bacterium. Its description in RNAcentral is "bacterial SSU rRNA". It matches the Rfam family "Bacterial small subunit ribosomal RNA", at positions 791 to 1271 of the family's 1533-position model. The record is from RNAcentral.